AGCGAACGCUGGCGGCGUGCCUAACACAUGCAAGUCGAGCGCGGGCAUUUCGGGGGUAACCCCGGGAUGUGCUGAGCGGCGGACGAGUGAGUAAUACGUGGACAACCUGCCUUAAAGCUUGGGAUAACUCCGGGAAACUGGAGCUAAUACCGGAUAAGACCACGGUGUCUAUGGAUGCUGAGGUAAAGGCGGCCAGGAAACUGGCUGUUGCUUAAAGAUGGGUCCACGUCCCAUCAGGUAGUUGGUGAGGUAAAGGCUCACCAAGCC
This 267-nucleotide ribosomal RNA is filed under the name uncultured bacterium. RNAcentral's name for it is "partial 16S ribosomal RNA". It matches the Rfam family "Bacterial small subunit ribosomal RNA", at positions 29 to 274 of the family's 1533-position model. The record is from RNAcentral.